Molecule: ribosomal RNA, 252 nt
Filed under: uncultured bacterium
Lineage: Bacteria
Description: partial 16S ribosomal RNA
Rfam family: Bacterial small subunit ribosomal RNA
Source: RNAcentral
UACGUAGGGUGCGAGCGUUAAUCGGAAUUACUGGGCGUAAAGCGUGCGCAGGCGGUUUUGUAAGCCAGGUGUGAAAUCCCCGGGCUCAACCUGGGAAUGGCAUUUGGGACUGCAAGGCUGGAGUGCGGCAGAGGAGACUGGAAUUCCUGGUGAGCAGUGAAAUGCGUAGAUAUCAGGAGGAACACCGAUGGCGAAGGCAGGUCUCUGGGCUGACACUGACGCUCAUGCACGAAAGCGUGGGGAGCAAACAGG